This 107-nucleotide microRNA precursor is filed under the name Ictidomys tridecemlineatus (thirteen-lined ground squirrel). Its description in RNAcentral is "Spermophilus tridecemlineatus (thirteen-lined ground squirrel) mir-544 microRNA precursor family". It matches the Rfam family "mir-544 microRNA precursor family". The record is from Rfam by way of RNAcentral. Lineage: Eukaryota; Metazoa; Chordata; Mammalia; Rodentia; Sciuridae.
AUUACCUGGGGAUCUUGUUAAAAUACAGAUUCUGAUUCAGUAAACCUGGGCUGGGGUUGGGGGAGCACGAGAUUUUGCAUUUCUAAGAAGCCCUCAGGUGAUGCUGA